CGUAGGGUGCGAGCGUUGUCCGGAACUACUGGGCGUAAAGAGCUCGUAGGUGGUUUGUCGCGUUGUUCGUGAAAACCGGGGGCUUAACUCUCGGCGUGCGGGCGAUACGGGCAGACUGGAGUACUGCAGGGGAGACUGGAAUUCCUGGUGUAGCGGUGGAAUGCGCAGAUAUCAGGAGGAACACCGGUGGCGAAGGCGGGUCUCUGGGCAGUAACUGACGCUGAGGAGCGAAAGCGUGGGGAGCGAACAGGAUUAGAUACCCUGGUAGUCCACGCCGUAAACGGUGGGUACUAGGUGUGGGUUUCCUUCCUUGGGAUCCGUGCCGUAGCUAACGCAUUAAGUACCCCGCCUGGGGAGUACGGCCGCAAGGCUA
Molecule: ribosomal RNA, 373 nt
Filed under: uncultured organism
Description: bacterial SSU rRNA
Rfam family: Bacterial small subunit ribosomal RNA
Source: RNAcentral